Xiphophorus hellerii (green swordtail) is the source of this 5881-nucleotide RNA transcript. It is a transcript of the gene named kinesin light chain 1a, with no coding region annotated. The record is from RefSeq and is a predicted model, not a curated record. The transcript is spliced from 17 exons. NCBI's taxonomy places the organism in Eukaryota, Metazoa, Chordata, Actinopteri, Cyprinodontiformes, Poeciliidae.
CUUUAAUCCUGUCAAGAUGACAUCAGUGUUACCGAGGGAGGACUAAGGGGGAGCCGGCUAACGCCAUUUUCACGCUCCGAGCAGUCACUCACCGUCUCGCGGAGCUGUCAUCUGCACCACCGAUUCAUUUGUUCAGUCCGUCACGUGACGCCUCGGUCUGGGCAGUGACGCGGAGCUGCUGUUGGUAUGGAACAGGACAGGAUAUUCACCUGAGCGGCUGCGGUUGGACUCAAUGUUUUGACGUAAGGCUGCUAGGUGCUAGCAUGUAGCUAACCGGACUGUAGCAUUUGAUGCAGUUAGGUCCAGCUAACCAAAAGACACCCAACCACUGGACGAGCCACUAGUUGGAAUUUCUGUUUCUUCCUUCUUCAUAUUCUUCACAACCAUAAGCUGUUGGUGACAGAUAAAGGGGACAGCUCGGGGGAAACGAGAAGGGGACAUUGGAACGACUCAGUGGAACUCCACUGGCAACGAAUGUCCCACAGAACGGAUGCGUGAGGACAUGUCCACCAUGGUGUGCGUGAAAGAGGAGGAGGACCCGGGGGAGAAACUGUCUCAGGAUGAGAUCAUCUCCCGGACCAAGCAGGUGAUCCAGGGCCUGGAAGCCCUGAAGCAGGAGCACCAUUCCAUCCUGGAGGGCCUGCUGGGCACGCUGCGCUGCCUGAAGCAGGAUGAAGAGGGAGUCCUGGUGGAGGAGAAGUCACACAUGAUCCGGAAGUCCCUGGAAAUGCUGGAGCUCGGUCUGAGCGAAGCUCAGGUGAUGAUGGCGCUGUCCAGCCACCUGAGCUCCGUUGAGUCAGAGAAGCAAAAGCUGCGGGCGCAGGUACGCAGGCUGUGCCAGGAGAACCAGUGGCUGAGGGACGAGCUGGCGGGAACGCAGCAGAAACUGCAGAAGAGCGAGCAGAGCGUAGCGCAGCUGGAGGAGGAGAAGAAGCACUUGGAGUUCAUGAACCAGCUGAAAAAGUAUGACGAGGACCUGUCCCCCUCGGAAGAGAAGGAGUGUGACUCCAGUAAAGAGACCUUGGAUGACCUCUUCCCAGAUGACCAGGAUGACCAAGCUCCAGGCAUGCAGCCAGCUCACGGUAGCGCAGCGGCUGCAGCUGCCCAGCAGGGCGGCUAUGAGAUCCCAGCCCGCCUCAGGACCCUCCACAACCUGGUGAUCCAGUACGCGUCCCAGGGGAGGUACGAGGUGGCCGUGCCGCUCUGCAAGCAGGCACUGGAAGACCUGGAAAAGACCUCUGGACACGACCACCCAGACGUAGCCACCAUGCUCAACAUCCUGGCGCUUGUUUAUAGGGAUCAGAACAAAUACAAGGAAGCAGCCAACCUACUAAAUGAUGCUCUGGCCAUCAGAGAGAAGACUCUUGGCAGAGACCAUCCAGCUGUGGCGGCUACCCUCAAUAACCUGGCUGUCUUGUAUGGGAAGAGAGGGAAGUACAAGGAGGCAGAACCUCUCUGCAAGAGGGCGCUGGAGAUCAGAGAAAAGGUGUUGGGCAAGGACCACCCAGACGUGGCCAAGCAGCUGAACAACCUCGCCCUGCUGUGCCAGAACCAGGGCAAGUAUGAGGAGGUGGAGUAUUACUACAUGAGAGCUCUGGAGAUCUACCAGACCAAACUAGGACCAGAUGACCCCAACGUGGCCAAAACCAAGAACAACCUGGCUUCCUGUUACCUAAAGCAGGGCAAAUUCAAGCAGGCUGAGACUCUGUAUAAAGAAAUCCUCACCCGCGCGCAUGAGAGGGAGUUUGGCUCUGUUGAUGAUGAGAACAAACCAAUCUGGAUGCAUGCUGAAGAGAGAGAGGAGCAAAGCAAGGGGAAACUGAAGGACAGUUCACAAUUUGGAGAAUAUGGAGGCUGGUACAAAGCAUGUAAAGUUGACAGCCCCACGGUGACCACAACCCUGAAGAACCUGGGAGCUCUUUACAGGCGGCAGGGCAAGUUUGAGGCAGCCGAGACUCUGGAGGAGGCAGCCAUGCGCUCCAGAAAGCAGGGUCUGGACAACGUGCACAAGCAACGCGUUGCCGAGGUUCUCAGUGAACCAGAGGCCGGCGACAAGCAACGCAGCCGAGAGAGUCUGACUUCAGACACGGUGAAGUACGAGAGCGGGCCGGACGGUGGCGAGGAAGUGAGUAUGAGCGUGGAGUGGAACGGGGACGGAUCGGGGUCCCUGAAGAGAAGCGGCUCCUUCAGUAAACUACGGGCGUCGCUCCGUCGAAGCAGCGAGAAACUGGUCCGCAAGCUAAAAGGCGGCAGUUCGUCACGAGACGGCGAGCACAAAACCCCCGGCAUGAAGCGGGCCAGCUCUCUGGGGGUUCUUAACUUGCCGGACAAGCCUGCCAGAGACCACUACCAAUUGUAGAUUACUGUCUGUGAUUGGAGCAACUUGACCCUGGAUGCUGCAAGAAAAGGGAAGACAGAAAAUUAAGAUUUUAAGAAAACUAUUGUGAGGAACGAAAUCAUCGUUUAAGAAAACAUCACGACCUGAGUGCCAGCCAAACCGAUCUGGCGCAUUGAAGGAAGUGAACUACCACCUCUGACCACCGGACUGCCUUCGCUGUAAAUUUCUGUUUGUAGGAAAGCUUCGCGCGUUCGUCGCUCUUCAGCAUCGCAACGCAAAGUGCUCACUGGACGGCCUCUGAACUCUGACCCCACUGCUGCAGGUUUGAGCUCCCAGCAGGAAGCCUGUGCUCCUGUCACUGCGCAUCAGGGGUGUGAAUGUACAGCUCUCUGCUGCAUGUGUGUGUCUUGUGAGAAAGCUCGUGCUACGUCAAACUGUUUCCUGGUUUUAGUGAUAUGAAAAAUAUGAAUUAUGCUGGAGUUGGUUUGAAGGCGGACACAGGCGCAGGUUUUACUUCACCAAGCCUCGGCUCAAAAUGAACUCCCCCGUUUCACCGAGAGAAACUGAAUGUCUAGUUACCGCUGGGCUGAAAGCUCCGUUUUAUGAAAUGAUGAUGUUGGUAAUGAAACAGCAAAGCAACUCUGUGGUUUAGCAGCCAUUUUCUACAAAAUACUGUCUGAAAUGAGUCACCUGCCAUCAAAACGAACGUUUCUCUCGGAAAUGCUAUGUUCAGAUUAUGAUGAUUAUUAUUAUGCACUGUUCCCUUUCUAAAAAUAUCCCUAAAUUAAAUAAUUAAUUAACCUUACAGGGGCAGUAUUAUAUAUUUUUCAGGCACAUAGCGCUAUACAUAUAUUAAAUAUGACUAAAGAAAUUUGACUUUGUAUUUAACGUCUUGAAAUUGGGCCUCUGUCUCUUUAAAUACUCCCGCUUUUUCUGAAACUCUGCCUUUAGGAAAGCAUCACAACAUUGCUCCUUUAGCAACAUUUUAACCAGUGUUGCACGGAGAAGUAACUCCUAGAACAAGUUCAGCAGAUGCUCAGUCCCACCAGGUGUUUGCUAAUUAAAUCUGGCUAGUCUGAAGGAGCUGAGUGGGGGGCUGGAAGCUUGAAACUUUUACAAGCUUCCAGCUCCAGCUCCUGAGGAGGAGCUCUGUCCUCGAAGGCGGAGCUAGGUCCACCAAGUUGUUUUUGCACAGCUGCAUGGUUGCCAUGGAGAUUAAAGCGUUUCUUAAGCAUGCAUAAAAGUAUCAAAGCAACACUCCAGAUAUGUUAUUGAUGAGGGAAUAACAUUAUAUCAUAAUAUAAAGCAUAAAAAAGUCUAUUUUACAUAAUACUGCCCCUUUAAAGGAAUAUAUUCAGGAUUUUUUUUUUUAAAGUAAGGUUUUGUUGAAAUUUUAAAAGCAAUUAGCAUUUGUUUUCUUUUAUGCCAGUCUUGGCAUUGCUGGCAUACCAUAUAGAGAAGCUGGUUGCCUGCAUGUUUCCAGGACAUAUUUGCUCUACAAAAAGGAGAUGUGAAGAGCGAAUCCUAAUGGCGUUUAUUAAAUCAAGACUCCAUCUUUGUAUCAAAGCAGGCAGAGCACACUGAGGUAAUGGCAGCCUGGUUGUGUGACCUGAAAGUGUUUCAUUUGUGUCGGUGCGUGGGUGUUUGACGUGGGUGGUGUUCAGAGCUGAGUGGUUUGUGUUGGAGUGGGUUUGACCCCUGGAGGUGCACAGAUGUUAGUUAGACCCCAAGUCAUCCCCACACCUCCAUUCCCCCAAAAUAACAGUCUUAAUAUAAUAUCUGCUUUGGUGUUUGGUGUAGCUGUUAACUUCAGUCUGUGGGAUCUACUCUGGGUUUAUGCUAAGACAAAACAGCAACAGAGUUAUGCUUAAGCCCGAAAUUAUUCACACUCCCUUCCGAUUUAGUUUUGAAGCAGUCUUUAAAUUUUCCCACCACGUUUCUUCUGACUGGAAGAAAUAUUGACGUUUUGCAGUCCCAGUUGGAAUGUGCAGGGACCUUUAGGUUGGGGUGAGCCAUCAGUCUCAAACACCUGGAGCUCGUUAAAACAUUAAAAUUGCAGUGUAAACACACAUAAAGCCGGUUAGCAUCUCCAACAGUUGCUAACCUUUACAGAUUGCUGCGCCGUCAAACAAGGUUUUUCCAUUCAGUGUUGAAAUGGGUUGCAUAUUUUUUUACAAACACAAUGUGUAAAAUAUGUGGUAAUAUAAAAUAUGUGAAAAAUAUUUGUUCUUUUCAGAAUCAAUACCCAUUUUAAAUAGUUUUACCUAUUGGGAGAUUCUGAUCUCAUUUCACAUCAGAAAAAAAAACUUUUUGCUAAAUAAAAACAGUUUUAACUCGGACUCUGCCAGGGGUAUUGAUGAGUUUGGGCUCAAUCAUAUCUACCGCAGGUAAGAUAUUAACUAUUUACAAGCUUUUAGUAGGAACCUGUUUAAAAAAAAAAAAGCAGAUAUUUGUUCAGUUAGAUUUUAAUGUUACUCCGGUGUCCAUAGAAACACGAUUGCUCCAGAAUAGCUGAAGAUUUUUAUGACUGACUGGAGAACUUAAAACUUUAAAAUCUCAACAAACCAGUUAAGUGACCCAAAACCUGUACAUGAAACCUAACAAAUGUCCAAAGUUUGUCUGAUAAAAUAUCUGCAUUAGAACAUGUCUGCCUUCCCUGUGCAAAAAGGAGAAAAGCGACAAAGAAGAGCAUGAUCUUCUUGUUUCGAGUGUCUAAGUUUAACCCUAGCUCCUCAACUAGCUCCCCAGCUAGCUCUUCAACUAGCUCUUCAACUAGCUCCAUAGCUAGCUCUUCAACUAGCUCCCCAGCUAGCUCUUCAACUAGCUCCACAGCUAGCUCUUCAACUAGCUCUUCAACUAGCUCCACAGCUAGCUCCUUAGCUAGCUCUCAGGUCGGAUUUGAGUUUAUGAAGGGACAGAAAAUCCACUUGUAUUUGAAGGACAGAAGUUGAAACUUGACUGGCCUCAUCUCAGCUGCUUCCUCUUUAAAACGUUCUGUUCUGUGUUGAUUAAAGUUUUAGCUUCUGAUAUAUGAAGUCCUGUGUUUACAUUUUUGUCAAUGCUGUUUUAUGUGUAUUUAUCCAUGCUGUGUUCUGGAAAAUCCUUAUGUUUAUGCAAAAAAACCAAAAAAACACUUCAUAUUUAUUCAUGCUGUCACCUGGAACUGAAUCAACUGGAACGUGACAGUUGAGGCUAAUUUUACACAAUUUGAAAUUAUUCAUCAGUUUUUCCAACAGUACCAGUAGAAAGAUCUCCAGUUGUUCUCAAUGUCUGAUCCGGACAAGUCUUUACUUGAGUGAAGUGCAAUUUAUGAAAAAGAUUUAAAGAUGAUUUAAAUUGUGAACGCAAGAUUUCAGUGUGUAUUCUGAUGCUUUCAUUCCAAGAGGUUUAUAGGAAGAAAAAGUUCCAGUGAUGUGUGUUAUGCUAGUCUGCUCUGCUUUAAUCGAUUCAAGCUACCUAUACAAUUCUAAUUUAAUGUGUAAAGAUCAUUUUGAACCAAAGCUGUAAGACUUAACCUUUGAUUAAACGUUCCAGCCUUCCUGA